RNAcentral lists this ribosomal RNA (327 nucleotides) under Granofilosea sp. RNAcentral describes it as "SSU rRNA". The stretch from base 111 to 327 matches the Rfam family "Eukaryotic small subunit ribosomal RNA", at positions 738 to 955 of the family's 1831-position model. Lineage: Eukaryota; Cercozoa. The record is from RNAcentral.
GAUUUCUGGUUUGGUGCGCCUGGUCCGCCCCGUUUUAGGUGUGUGAGUACUGGUGCGCGCCUACCAUCCUUCUGGGGAGCCCAUCUACCCUUCACUGGGCCGGGUGGUUUGCGACCUAGAUCGUUUACUUUGAAAAAAUUAGAGUGUUUAAAGCAGGCAUAUUGCUCUGAAUACAUUAGCAUGGAAUAAUAAGAUAGGACUUUGGUUCUAUUUUGUUGGUUUCUAGGACUGAAGUAAUGAUUGAUAGGGACAGUUGGGGGUGCUAGUAUUCAACGGCCAGAGGUGAAAUUCUUGGAUUCGUUGAAGACUAACUUAUGCGAAAGCAUU